Molecule: ribosomal RNA, 253 nt
Filed under: uncultured bacterium
Lineage: Bacteria
Description: partial 16S ribosomal RNA
Rfam family: Bacterial small subunit ribosomal RNA
Source: RNAcentral
UACGAAGGGGGCUAGCGUUGUUCGGAAUCACUGGGCGUAAAGCGCACGUAGGCGGAUGUGCCAGUCAGGGGUGAAAUCCCGGAGCUCAACUUCGGAACUGCCUCUGAUACAGCACGUCUUGAGUCCGGAAGAGGUGGGUGGAAUUCCUAGUGUAGAGGUGAAAUUCGUAGAUAUUAGGAAGAACACCGGUGGCGAAGUCGGCCCACUGGUCCGGUACUGACGCUGAGGUGCGAAAGCGUGGGGAGCAAACAGG